This 2470-nucleotide long non-coding RNA is filed under the name Homo sapiens (human). RNAcentral's name for it is "HSALNT0284871". The record is from RNAcentral. Lineage: Eukaryota; Metazoa; Chordata; Mammalia; Primates; Hominidae.
UAUGAUCUUCGUUUUGAAAAUGCAUGAAAAGAGAAAAACUGGAAUGACAUAUAAAAUAUCUAAUAGGUUUAUAGCUAGUGGAGGAACUAGAGUGUUUUAUUAUCUUUUUAUCUUAUUUCUCUAAUUCUUCUUUGGUAAACAAAUACUACUUAUGUAAUAAAACAUACAACCUUAAGGAGAAGAUCUGAUGAGGAAGCAUUUGUUACACAAAAAGUUGAGCAUAUACCCAUAAAGGAAAUAUCAAUUAAAUGGAGCUUCUCGGGCCGGGUGUAGUGGCUCACGCCUGUAAUCCCAGCACUUUGGGGGGCUGAGGUGGAUCACUUGAGGCCAGGAGUUUGAGACCAGCUUGGCAACAUAGCAAAACCCCUUUCUACUACAAAUACAAAAAUUAGCCAGGUGUGGUAGCGCAUGACUGUAAUCUCAACCACUCAGGUGGCUGAGGCACGAGAAUCACUUGAACCCAGGAGGUGGAGGUUCCAGUGAGCCAAGAUCGUGCCACUGCACUCCAGCCUAGGCAACAGAGUGAGACUUUCAAAAUAAAAUGAGAUAAAUGGAACUUCUGUAGGGGUGAAUUAUUGGGGCAAGAUACAAAGUCGAAUUUCAUGAACGCAUAUUAGUCUAGGAAUUACAAAUUAUCGUAAAUGAGAAGAUGUAAAUAUGAGCUAAAAUUCACAGUAAUCGCCCAAGUAAAUGAGAUAUUUAAGCAAUCCAGAACCUUUUCUCAUCAAGUUGAUUAAGGGAAAUAAUCUCCCAAGGUGUUGGGAGGCUGAUAGGAAAGUGUGUGUUUCAUAAUCAGAACCUAAGAAAUCUGACACACAAACUUUGAAAGUGUAUAAGGGAAUGAUCAAAAAUUAGCUGAGUGUGGUGGUGGGUGCCUGUAAUCCCAGCUACUCAGGAGGCUGAGGCAGGAGAACGGCUUGAACCCAGGAGGUGGAGGUUGCAGUGAGACAAGAUGGUGCCACUGCACUCCAACCUGGGCAACUCCAUCUCGAAGAAGAAAAUGUAUAAGGGAAUGAGAAACGUUUUGUUUUCCGGAGGUCAAGGGAAGUCGCAGAUCUUGGAUGGCCGUUACAUAUAUUAUUGGCAAUGCAAAGAGUCGGUUUACAUCCAGACACCAUACUCUCUUUUAAAAAUGACUGCAUCAAAUAAGUCUUGUGAAAAGCAAAGAAAAUAAUAAAAUUGUGUUUUUAUCUUAAACUAGUAACAGAAGCAAUCAGUUGCUGAAUGGUCUGUCACUUUAUAUUCAGUAGGACCUCCCUAGACAGGAUUAUUCUGUGAAGUAGCAUGGUUGGAACAAAAAGUAGCUAAGGAAGACAUUUCUUCUUUUUUUCCUUUUAAUAGACAUUCUGUGCACCCUUUAACACAAUAUGGUUGCAGCAUCAAAGGACACAAUUGAUUAAUAGUCAUCAUAAAACUUCACAACCAUCCUACAAUGUGAAAAACUGAGCGCUUAGCCUCUACUAAAGGUUUGUUUAUUACAUGAAUGAAGGAAUGAACGAAUGAGCUAUGAGGCACUGGAUAUUGAUAAAAACAAUUCUCUAUCUUUAAAGUGGAAGUUGAGAAGAAAACAUUAGUUCCUUGAACAGCCAACUACCUUUGCCACCAGUAGGUUUAGUCAUACAAAAAUCUCUUGAAUGGAAUCUAUGGUCUUUGAGAUAUUUCAAACUGUGAUAGAAACAAUGCAAUUAAUUCAAGCAGGUCCUUUCUUUAGGACUGAUCUACAAAAUAUGAUAAUGUGAUAUGAGUUUAAUUGCACUCCUCUACACUAUAAAGGACAUCUACACUGAUCAGGCAAACCUCACAAUUCAAAUGAACCAAUUCAAACUGCACAUGUGAGCUUCUCAAAUGUUUUGUAGGUAUAGGCUCAAUAGAGGGUUGUUUGCUAUUAAAUAUUGGAAAGUUUACAAAUUUGUGUUGGGCAGCAUUCAAAGCCAUCCUGGGCCACAUGAGGCCUGCGGGUCACAGAUUGGACAAGCUUGCUUUAACUCAUAAUUUGAUUUUUUAAUGUUUCUCUGAUGCAUGUGAAAAUAUUAUGAGUAAAAAGACAAUGUUUGGGCUCUGCUUUAAAAUACUCUAGAAAACACACACACACACACACACACACAAACACACACACACAAAAGGGUUGGAGAGAGUUUUAAAAAUGGCAGAAUGUUACUAGAUGUUGCAACUUGCUGGUGGGCAUAUGGGUGUUCAUUAAGCUAUCUUUUCUACCUUUGUAUAUGCUAGAAAUUAAAAUUUUAAUCCAAAAAUAAAUAAAUAUUGGAAUCUUAAUAUACAAUUUUAAUACUUUUAUCAUUUGACAUGUCCUAUGUAAUAUGCUGUGAGGAUGAAAAUACAACUCCAUUUUCUUUUGAAUAUGUGUUAAAAAUAAUAAUAAAAAUUAUUUUUCUUUGCCCAGUGAUUUGAAAAUGCCACUUUUAUCAUCAUAAACAUUUAUAAAUGCUUUGGUCACUCUCUCAGUGGGCUU